Molecule: ribosomal RNA, 522 nt
Filed under: uncultured bacterium
Lineage: Bacteria
Description: bacterial SSU rRNA
Rfam family: Bacterial small subunit ribosomal RNA
Source: RNAcentral
GAUGAACGCUGGCGGCGUGCCUAACACAUGCAAGUCGAACGGAGUUUAUAUUAUGAAGUUUUCGGAUGGAUUAGUAUAAACUUAGUGGCGGACGGGUGAGUAACGCGUGGGUAACCUGCCUCAUACUGGGGGGAUAACAACCGGAAACGGCUGCUAAAACCGCAUAACAAAGGAAGAUCGCAUGAUUUUUUCUUUUAAAUAUUUUUAUAGGUAUGAGAUGGGGCCCCGUCUGAUUAGCUAGUUGGUAGGGUAAAGGCCUACCAAGGCGACGAUCAGUAGCCGGCUUGAGAGAGUGACCGGCCACAUUGGGACUGAGACACGGCCCAAACUCCUACGGGAGGCAGCAGUGGGGAAUAUUGCACAAUGGGGGAAACCCUGAUGCAGCGACGCCGCGUGAGCGAAGAAGGCCUUCGGGUCGUAAAGCUCUGUCCGUUGGGAAGAAGGCGAAAGCGUUGACGGUACCAAGAAGAAAGCCCCGGACUAACUACGUGCCAGCGAGCCGACCGGUAAACAGUACUCGUA